This 72-nucleotide transfer RNA is filed under the name Sphaerodactylus townsendi. RNAcentral's name for it is "tRNA-Ala". It matches the Rfam family "tRNA". Rfam says of the family: Transfer RNA (tRNA) molecules are approximately 80 nucleotides in length. Their secondary structure includes four short double-helical elements and three loops (D, anti-codon, and T loops). Lineage: Eukaryota; Metazoa; Chordata; Lepidosauria; Squamata; Sphaerodactylidae. The record is from RNAcentral.
GGGGCUGUGGCUCAGUAGUUAAGCCUCUGCUUUGCAUGCAAAAUGUCCCAAGUUCGAUCCCUGGCAUCUCCA